UACGAAGGGGGCUAGCGUUGUUCGGAUUUACUGGGCGUAAAGCGCACGUAGGCGGAUCGAUCAGUCAGGGGUGAAAUCCCAGAGCUCAACUCUGGAACUGCCUUUGAUACUGUCGAUCUGGAGUAUGGAAGAGGUGAGUGGAAUUCCGAGUGUAGAGGUGAAAUUCGUGGAUAUUCGGAGGAACACCAGUGGCGAAGGCGGCUCACUGGUCCAUUACUGACGCUGAGGUGCGAAAGCGUGGGGAGCAAACAGG
This 253-nucleotide ribosomal RNA is filed under the name uncultured bacterium. Its description in RNAcentral is "partial 16S ribosomal RNA". It matches the Rfam family "Bacterial small subunit ribosomal RNA", at positions 524 to 776 of the family's 1533-position model. The record is from RNAcentral.